UGCCAACAAAAAACUAUGAUAUUUGAUUGAAAACUGUCUUCGAAACAGUUCCAAUCCAGUAGCUCGUGCGUAAAGAUUCAAAAUAGUAUUAGAAUAGGAAAGUAGAAAGAAGGAGCGUCUAGAUUUGUUUGUUAAAAAAUCUCUGGAAAAUGCCUAUUUACUGGAAAGCCAUACCGCAACUGAUUGUGGCUCUGCCAGUAAUCGACUACCUGUUCUCGGUGGUGGUCAAAAUGGAGAUCGCAGAGCAGAAGCGUCUCCGCGAGAUGGAGACUGCCAGCCCACAAAAGCCCGACGUAAAAGAGUGUUAAAAAAGGCGAAGAGACGGACGAGUGUUACCCCAAAACCACAGCCAAACGAAGACAAGAAACAGUGGAGGUCCCUGGACACAUUGCACCCUCUUUUCGGGAGAGGCCGCCGCCCUGGAGGGCACAGCAGAAGGGGCUCAAGUGGUCCCUCCUUUGGCUGGGGGUUUGGGGUAAACUCUACUUGGAUUUGUUGUAUCUUGUGUCAAAUUCUCGAAUGUCUUACCACCGACUAAAGCUGUCAGUCUA
This 551-nucleotide small RNA is filed under the name Drosophila pseudoobscura pseudoobscura. RNAcentral's name for it is "GA32953". The record is from RNAcentral. Lineage: Eukaryota; Metazoa; Arthropoda; Insecta; Diptera; Drosophilidae.